This is a long non-coding RNA of Aethalodelphis obliquidens (Pacific white-sided dolphin), 403 nucleotides long. RefSeq lists it as uncharacterized. Lineage: Eukaryota; Metazoa; Chordata; Mammalia; Artiodactyla; Delphinidae. The transcript is spliced from 2 exons. The record is from RefSeq and is a predicted model, not a curated record.
CCCGUGUCCGACGAUAGGCAAGCCUGGGCCAGGUUUGGUGCAGAGGCACGCAAAGAGAUCGGGUAGUUGCUCUUUUACCCCGUGAACUGGGCCGCCUGACGCUUGUUGUUAAUUGCAGAUUAUUCUGGAAAAGUUUAUCCUGUCAAGGGAUCUGCCAUUAGGGAAAUUCCUCUGGAGAUCAGACCCAGGGGCCAUGACUUCGUUUUGGCCACCUGGGAACAACUUAAGGUUUCCUUUCCUCGCGUAAAGAAAGUGGAAAAUCUCAAGCGGUUUCUGGCUUGAAAAGCCCUUCAUUUACUCACUUCUGCCCUCUCUGACCCAGCCCUCCUCCCCGCAGGAGGAUCCAGGAAGUAGGGGGUUGAGUUUUUUAGACAAUCAAUUAAUUUUGUAAUUAGAAAAGUAA